UGUAAACAUCAAGUAUAUAUUGGUGUCUUCUUUGGGACGGAUUUUGAGUUCCCAGUUACUCGUCAAACGUUCUUCUGAUCCAAAUAUACUUUGCAGCUGAAAACAGUCCUGAUCCUGACCUCUUAUCACCAGUCUUAAAUGCUGAGUCACAGAUGGAGAGUUAUUUCUUAAAGUUAACUUCUGUUGGACUGAUUCUCCAAGCU
This 203-nucleotide long non-coding RNA is filed under the name Gallus gallus (chicken). The record is from RNAcentral. Lineage: Eukaryota; Metazoa; Chordata; Aves; Galliformes; Phasianidae.